CAUAGUCCCAGAGCUGAAGCUGCUGUCCGCUCCUCUUUGGCUGGACUGAGACCUUGAUUCUACCAGAGGACAUGACUUCACUUUCUUCCAGACCUCACACUAAACAAGUUAGCUGGGAUCUUUGAGUUGGAUGUGUUAUCCUUUACAUGGAGUUCUUCGGUAUUUACCUAAAUAAGCCUCAUGUCAUCAAAGCUUUUCUUGCCUCAUUUGCACUUGGCCUUUGGAAAUGUGGAGAAUAUUGGUUCAGUUUCUUAUGCCAUUUAAAGAGCCGUAUUCAACCAGACACGGAUGCACUUCUCACACCAUGAGCAGCUGAACUGGGCGGCUUCUUAGAUGAGUUGGAUGUGCUCCUGUCCAGUUUCUGACUGGCAGCUUGCUUGUAUUCUUUGAGACUGAUGUAGCCAUGUUCUCCAGCAAAGCUGUUGUGGAUUGUGU
This is a long non-coding RNA of Sinocyclocheilus grahami, 435 nucleotides long. RefSeq lists it as uncharacterized. NCBI's taxonomy places the organism in Eukaryota, Metazoa, Chordata, Actinopteri, Cypriniformes, Cyprinidae. The transcript is spliced from 4 exons. The record is from RefSeq and is a predicted model, not a curated record.